CCAGAUGAUUAUACCUUUUUAACCCUUAUUCUUCUAUGAAGAUAAAAAGCAACAACAACACUCUAAUUUUUUCAUGAUU
RNAcentral lists this small nucleolar RNA (79 nucleotides) under Dothideomycetidae sp. 11243. Its description in RNAcentral is "fungal sp. No.11243 A. fimigatus snoRNA Afu_298". It matches the Rfam family "A. fimigatus snoRNA Afu_298". Lineage: Eukaryota; Fungi; Ascomycota; Dothideomycetes. The record is from Rfam by way of RNAcentral.